UACGUAGGGUGCAAGCGUUAAUCGGAAUUACUGGGCGUAAAGCGUGCGCAGGCGGUUUUGUAAGUCUGUCGUGAAAUCCCCGGGCUCAACCUGGGAAUUGCGAUGGAGACUGCAAGGCUAGAAUCUGGCAGAGGGGGGUAGAAUUCCACGUGUAGCAGUGAAAUGCGUAGAGAUGUGGAGGAACACCGAUGGCGAAGGCAGCCCCCUGGGUCAAGACUGACGCUCAUGCACGAAAGGCGUGGGGAGCAAACGAGGAUUACGAA
Molecule: ribosomal RNA, 263 nt
Filed under: uncultured bacterium
Lineage: Bacteria
Description: partial 16S ribosomal RNA
Rfam family: Bacterial small subunit ribosomal RNA
Source: RNAcentral